GAUGAACGCUGGCGGCGUGCCUAAUACAUGCAAGUCGAGCGAACAGACGAGGAGCUUGCUCCUCUGACGUUAGCGGCGGACGGGUGAGUAACACGUGGAUAACCUACCUAUAAGACUGGGAUAACUUCGGGAAACCGGAGCUAAUACCGGAUAAUAUAUUGAACCGCAUGGUUCAAUAGUGAAAGACGGUUUUGCUGUCACUUAUAGAUGGAUCCGCGCCGCAUUAGCUAGUUGGUAAGGUAACGGCUUACCAAGGCAACGAUGCGUAGCCGACCUGGGAGGGUGAUCGGCCACACUGGAACUGAGACACGGUCCAGACUCCUACGGGAGGCAGCAGUAGGGAAUCUUCCUCAAUGGGCGAAAGCCUGACGGAGCAACGCCGCGUGAGUGAUGAAGGUCUUCGGAUCGUAAAACUCUGUUAUUAGGGAAGAACAAAUGUGUAAGUAACUAUGCACGUCUUGACGGUACCUAAUCAGAAAGCCACGGCUAACUACGUG
RNAcentral lists this ribosomal RNA (497 nucleotides) under uncultured bacterium. RNAcentral describes it as "partial 16S ribosomal RNA". It matches the Rfam family "Bacterial small subunit ribosomal RNA", at positions 28 to 507 of the family's 1533-position model. The record is from RNAcentral.